GGCCAUAGAGAAUACUGUCUUCCACUCUUGCCAAACGGACUGAAACCAUCAGUACAUAAUCCAAGGUAGACAUUUAUUCUCUCAUACGCAAAGUCGGGAUACUUUGAUUGGAAAUGCUUCCACGCUUUUGCAUCUGAAGGAUGUCUGAUCUCACCAUCUGUUGAGUGCUCCGCAUGCCAUCUCAUUGGUUGCGUUGUCCGUUCAGACAGAUACAAC
RNAcentral lists this long non-coding RNA (216 nucleotides) under Brassica napus (rape). RNAcentral describes it as "long non-coding RNA (BNAP_LNC020290)". The record is from RNAcentral. Lineage: Eukaryota; Viridiplantae; Streptophyta; Magnoliopsida; Brassicales; Brassicaceae.